RNAcentral lists this ribosomal RNA (423 nucleotides) under uncultured Flammeovirgaceae bacterium. RNAcentral describes it as "bacterial SSU rRNA". It matches the Rfam family "Bacterial small subunit ribosomal RNA", at positions 355 to 776 of the family's 1533-position model. Lineage: Bacteria; Pseudomonadati; Bacteroidota; Cytophagia; Cytophagales; Flammeovirgaceae. The record is from RNAcentral.
UAGGGAAUAUUGGACAAUGGGUGCGAGCCUGAUCCAGCCAUGCCGCGUGCAGGAAGACGGCCUUCUGGGUUGUAAACUGCUUUUGCCAGGGGAUAAAACGUCCAUGCGUGGAUAAUUGAAGGUACCUGGUGAAUAAGCCACGGCUAACUACGUGCCAGCAGCCGCGGUAAUACGUAGGUGGCAAGCGUUGUCCGGAUUUAUUGGGUUUAAAGGGUGCGUAGGCGGUUUUAUAAGUCAGUGGUGAAAUACAAUAGCUUAACUAUUGAGGUGCCAUUGAUACUGUAAGACUUGAGUACAGACGAGGUAGGCGGAAUUGACGGUGUAGCGGUGAAAUGCUUAGAUAUCGUCAAGAACACCGAUAGCGAAGGCAGCUUACUAGACUGUAACUGACGCUGAGGCACGAAAGUGUGGGGAUCAAACAGG